GGUUGCGAUCAUACCAGCACUAAUGCACUGGAUCCCAUGAGAAACUCCGCAGUUAAGCGUGCUUGGGCGAGAGUAAUAUUAGGAUGGGUGACCCCAUGGGAAGUCCGCGUGUUGCAACCC
This 120-nucleotide ribosomal RNA is filed under the name Helianthus annuus (common sunflower). The record is from RNAcentral. Lineage: Eukaryota; Viridiplantae; Streptophyta; Magnoliopsida; Asterales; Asteraceae.